GAUGAACGCCGCCAGAAUGCUUAACACAUGCAAGUCAACUUGAAUUUGGGUUUUUAACUUAGGUUUGGGUGGCGGACGGGUGAGUAACGCGUAAAGAACUUGCCUCACAGCUAGGGACAACAUUUGGAAACGAAUGCUAAUACCUAAUAUUAUGAUAAUAGGGCAUCCUAUAAUUAUGAAAGCUAUAAGCGCUGUGAGAGAGCUUUGCGUCCCAUUAGCUAGUUGGAGAGGUAACGGCUCACCAAGGCGAUGAUGGGUAGCCGGUCUGAGAGGGUGAUCGGCCACAAGGGGACUGAGACACGGCCCUUACUCCUACGGGAGGCAGCAGUGGGGAAUAUGGGACAAUGGACCGAGAGUCUGAUCCAGCAAUUCUGUGUGCACGAUGAAGUUUUUCGGAAUGUAAAGUGCUUUCAGUUGGGAAGAAACAAAUGACGGUACCAACAGAAGAAGUGACGGCUAAAUACGUG
This 467-nucleotide ribosomal RNA is filed under the name uncultured bacterium. Its description in RNAcentral is "partial 16S ribosomal RNA". It matches the Rfam family "Bacterial small subunit ribosomal RNA", at positions 28 to 507 of the family's 1533-position model. The record is from RNAcentral.